RNAcentral lists this ribosomal RNA (253 nucleotides) under uncultured bacterium. RNAcentral describes it as "partial 16S ribosomal RNA". It matches the Rfam family "Bacterial small subunit ribosomal RNA", at positions 524 to 776 of the family's 1533-position model. The record is from RNAcentral.
UACGAAGGGGGCUAGCGUUGCUCGGAAUCACUGGGCGUAAAGCGCACGUAGGCGGCUUGUUAAGUCAGGGGUGAAAUCCUGGAGCUCAACUCCAGAACUGCCUUUGAUACUGGCGAGCUUGAGUCCGGGAGAGGUGAGUGGAACUGCGGGUGUAGAGGUGAAAUUCGUAGAUAUUCGCAAGAGCACCAGUGGCGAAGGCGGCUCACUGGCCCGGUACUGACGCUGAGGUGCGAAAGCGUGGGGAGCAAACAGG